This 120-nucleotide non-coding RNA is filed under the name marine eukaryotic metagenome. RNAcentral's name for it is "SAM riboswitch (S box leader)". It matches the Rfam family "SAM riboswitch aptamer (S box leader)". Rfam says of the family: The SAM riboswitch is found upstream of a number of genes which code for proteins involved in methionine or cysteine biosynthesis in Gram-positive bacteria. The SAM riboswitch acts at the level of transcription termination control. The predicted structure consists of a complex stem-loop region followed by a single stem loop terminator region. The record is from RNAcentral.
UCUUAUUUCGAGUGGCUGAGGGACUGGCCCUUGGACGCCCGGCAACCGACUCCUAAUUUUUUUAGUGAAAUAUAGGAAAACGGUGCCAAUUCCAGCGGAUAGAACAUCCGGAAAAUGAGG